Perognathus longimembris pacificus (Pacific pocket mouse) is the source of this 221-nucleotide long non-coding RNA. RefSeq lists it as uncharacterized. The record is from RefSeq and is a predicted model, not a curated record. Lineage: Eukaryota; Metazoa; Chordata; Mammalia; Rodentia; Heteromyidae. The transcript has 3 exons.
CAGUGUGGGUUCCUUCUCAAUCCUCUGGGAGUGAAAGAAAGCAACAAGCAAAGGAGGGUUUGCUAGUGUCAAGCUGUCAAGGGCCACCUACUAUGCAUAUUUAGAUUUUUCUAUUUCUUUCUAUUUUUUUUCAGAAAUAGAUUGAGUCAAAAGUUGCUUUCUGGUAGGAAUUGAUUGCAAUAAUAUAAAACAUGUGCCUGACCUACAUAACCUAAAAGUCA